RNAcentral lists this ribosomal RNA (261 nucleotides) under uncultured prokaryote. RNAcentral describes it as "partial 16S ribosomal RNA". It matches the Rfam family "Bacterial small subunit ribosomal RNA", at positions 524 to 784 of the family's 1533-position model. The record is from RNAcentral.
UACGGAGGAUCCAAGCGUUAUCCGGAUUUAUUGGGUUUAAAGGGUGCGCAGGCGGAAGAUUAAGUCGGCGGUGAAAUUUUGCAGCUCAACUGUAAAAGUGCCAUCGAUACUGGUUUUCUUGAGUGUGGAUGAAGUAGGCGGAAUUUGUGGUGUAGCGGUGAAAUGCAUAGAUAUCACGAGGAACUCCGAUUGCGCAGGCAGCUUACUAAACCAUAACUGACGCUCAGGCACGAAGGCGUGGGGAUCAAACAGGAUUAGAUA